UACGGGGGGAGCAAGCGUUGUUCGGAUUUACUGGGCGUAAAGGGCGCGUAGGCGGCGCAACAAGUCACUUGUGAAAUCUCUGGGCUUAACCCGGAGCGGCCAAGUGAUACUGUCGUGCUAGAGUGCGGAAGGGGCUACUGGAAUUCUCGGUGUAGCGGUGAAAUGCGUAGAUAUCGAGAGGAACACCUGCGGCGAAGGCGGGUAGCUGGGCCGACACUGACGCUGAGGCGCGAAAGCCAGGGGAGCGAACGGG
RNAcentral lists this ribosomal RNA (253 nucleotides) under uncultured bacterium. RNAcentral's name for it is "partial 16S ribosomal RNA". It matches the Rfam family "Bacterial small subunit ribosomal RNA", at positions 524 to 776 of the family's 1533-position model. The record is from RNAcentral.